Molecule: transfer RNA, 85 nt
Filed under: Felis catus (domestic cat)
Lineage: Eukaryota; Metazoa; Chordata; Mammalia; Carnivora; Felidae
Rfam family: tRNA
About the family: Transfer RNA (tRNA) molecules are approximately 80 nucleotides in length. Their secondary structure includes four short double-helical elements and three loops (D, anti-codon, and T loops).
Source: Rfam by way of RNAcentral
GCCUGGGUGGCUCAGUCGGUUAAGUGUCCGACUUCAGCUCGGAUCAUGAUUUCACAGUUUGUGAGUUCAAGCCCCGCAUCGGGCU